UAUAUAUAGCUCAGUGGUAGAACACUUGCCUAACAUAUGUAUGUAUGAGGCCCUGGGUUCAAUCCCCAGUACUAGAA
This 77-nucleotide transfer RNA is filed under the name Marmota monax (woodchuck). RNAcentral describes it as "tRNA.Val". The record is from RNAcentral. Lineage: Eukaryota; Metazoa; Chordata; Mammalia; Rodentia; Sciuridae.